GAAGCGGGGAUACUCAUAUAAGACGAGAAGACCCCAUGGAGCUUCAAACCCAACUACACCCCUAGCUCUUAUAGCCCCACAACCCCCCUAGGCGCCGUGUGCUUGGUUUUAGGUUGGGGCGACCGCGGAGUACAAUAAAACCUCCACAAUGAAUGGGAACACCCCCUUAUCUGAGGGCCACACCCCCUAAGAAUUAGAACACUAACAUAAAAUGAUCCAUUACUUGAUCAAUGAACCAAGUUACCCUGGGGAUAACAGCGCAAUCCAUUUCAAGAGCCCCUAUCGACAAAUGGGUUUACGACCUCGAUGUUGGAUCAGGGUACCCCAGUGGUGCAGCAGCUACUAACGGUUCGUUUGUUCAACGAUUAAAACCCU
RNAcentral lists this ribosomal RNA (375 nucleotides) under Mantidactylus melanopleura. RNAcentral's name for it is "partial 16S ribosomal RNA". It matches the Rfam family "Bacterial large subunit ribosomal RNA", at positions 2058 to 2597 of the family's 2925-position model. The record is from RNAcentral. Lineage: Eukaryota; Metazoa; Chordata; Amphibia; Anura; Mantellidae.